Molecule: ribosomal RNA, 514 nt
Filed under: uncultured bacterium
Lineage: Bacteria
Description: partial 16S ribosomal RNA
Rfam family: Bacterial small subunit ribosomal RNA
Source: RNAcentral
GAUGAACGCUGGCGGCGUGCCUAAUACAUGCAAGUCGAGCGAACAGAUGAGAAGCUUGCUUCUCUGAUGUUAGCGGCGGACGGGUGAGUAGCACGUGGGUAACCUACCUAUAAGACUGGGAUAACUCCGGGAAACCGGGGCUAAUACCGGAUAAUAUUUUGAACCGCAUGGUUCAAUAGUGAAAGACGGUUUCGGGUGUCACUUAUAGAUGGACCCGCGCCGUAUUAGCUAGUUGGUAAGGUAACGGCUUACCAAGGCGACGAUACGUAGCCGACCUGAGGGGGGGAUCGGCCACAAUGGAACUGAGACACGGUCCAGACUCCUACGGGAGGCAGCAGUAGGGAAUCGUCCGCAAUGGGCGAAAGCCUGACGGAGCAACGCCGCGUGAGUGAUGAAGGUCUUCGGAUCGUAAAACUCUGUUGUUAGGGAAGAACAAAUUUGUUAGUAACUGAACAAGUCUUGACGGUACCUAACCAGAAAGCCACGGCUAACUACGUGCCAGCCGCCGCAGUAA